GAUGAACGCUGGCGGCGUGCCUAAUACAUGCAAGUCGAGCGAACAGACGAGGAGCUUGCUCCUCUGACGUUAGCGGCGGACGGGUGAGUAACACGUGGAUAACCUACCUAUAAGACUGGGAUAACUUCGGGAAACCGGAGCUAAUACCGGAUAAUAUAUUGAACCGCAUGGUUCAAUAGUGAAAGACGGUUUUGCUGUCACUUAUAGAUGGAUCCGCGCCGCAUUAGCUAGUUGGUAAGGUAACGGCUUACCAAGGCAACGAUGCGUAGCCGACCUGAGAGAGUGAUCGCCCCCACUCGAACUGAGACACGGUCCAGACUCCUACGGGAGGCAGCAGUGGGGAAUCUUCCGCAAUAGGCGAAAGCCUGACGCAGCAAAGCCGCGUGAGUGAUAAAGGUCUUCGGAGCGUAAAACUCUGUUAUUAGGGAAGAAAAAAUGUGUAAGUAACUAUGCACGUCUUGACGGUACCUAAUCAGAAAGCCACGGCUAACUACGUG
Molecule: ribosomal RNA, 497 nt
Filed under: uncultured bacterium
Lineage: Bacteria
Description: partial 16S ribosomal RNA
Rfam family: Bacterial small subunit ribosomal RNA
Source: RNAcentral